RNAcentral lists this long non-coding RNA (238 nucleotides) under Elaeis guineensis (African oil palm). RNAcentral describes it as "long non-coding RNA (EGUI_LNC046492)". Lineage: Eukaryota; Viridiplantae; Streptophyta; Magnoliopsida; Arecales; Arecaceae. The record is from RNAcentral.
ACAUUGUAUUUUAAUUUUUUUUAAAUCCAUCAUAUGGAUUAUCCGAGUCCAGAUUUUGCUAAAUUAAAAUACACCGAUGCAUAUCUCUUACUAAUUUAGAGGGGUCAAUCCCAUCUUGACUCACGCACCGACUUGACAAGUACUUGACUGUAUCCAAAAAUCUUCCAUCACUGAAUUAGAAACUUAGUUAGUUUAGCACUAAAGUACAGUGAGUUGCUUGCAAGCCACUAUGAUGAUC